RNAcentral lists this long non-coding RNA (557 nucleotides) under Arachis ipaensis. RNAcentral's name for it is "long non-coding RNA (AIPA_LNC002372)". Lineage: Eukaryota; Viridiplantae; Streptophyta; Magnoliopsida; Fabales; Fabaceae. The record is from RNAcentral.
AUAAUCAAGAACGGAGCAAUUAUCAAGUCUAAAAUCCUCUAACCACAAUCUAGCUACCUAACAGCAUAUAUAUCUAUCUAUCCUAACAAAUUAAUCAGCAAUCUAACUAAAAUUAACAAUAGAAUUAAUAAAAGAAAGUAAAGAAACAGAGCAGGAAGCAGAGAUGAAGCAGGGGACCUGAAAUGUAGCAAAGACAUACUGAAAAAUGGAAAGGAGAAGAAGAGCAGAAGUAGUGCCGCCCAGAGUUGGUGGUGGCCGGCUGAGCUCGCGGCAGCGUAGAGAGCGGCGGAACGAUGCAGGGCAGAGAGAUUCAGCUUCUCUCCGUGGCAGUGACGAGAGCUGGGGGGAGAAGCGUUCGAAGGGAAGAGGAGAGGCGAGAAGAGAAGAGGGAAGGUAAGAAUGGUGGUCAGCUUGCUAGACGAUGGGUCGCCGGAGACUGCUAUUGGCUGAAAGAGAGACGAGGAGGCGGUGACUGCUGUUGGCUGAGAGAGAGAGAGGGAGAAGUAGCGCCGUAGUGGGUUAGGAAUUUGGGUGAGUGAGACUGAUGAGAGUGAGGG